This 341-nucleotide small nuclear RNA is filed under the name Jaculus jaculus (lesser Egyptian jerboa). RNAcentral's name for it is "7SK RNA (ENSJJAG00000007258.1)". It matches the Rfam family "7SK RNA". From Rfam's summary of the family: 7SK was discovered as an abundant small nuclear RNA in the mid-70s but a possible function has only recently been suggested. Lineage: Eukaryota; Metazoa; Chordata; Mammalia; Rodentia; Dipodidae. The record is from Rfam by way of RNAcentral.
AGCUGAUCUGACUGCGACAUCUGUCACCCCAUUGAUCGCCAGGGUUGAUUCGGCUGAUCUGGCUGGCCAGGCAGGUGUCCCCUUCCUCCCUCACCGCUCCAUGUGCGUCCCUCCCGAAGCUGCGCGCUCGGUCGAAGAGGACGACCUUCCCGAAUAGAGGAGAACUGGUCUUUGGUCAAGGGUAUACGAGGAGCUGUGCUCCCCUGUAGAACCUCCAAAACAAGCUCUCAAGAUAACUUCUUUUUUUAAAAAAAACUAUAUUUAUUCAUUAGAGAGAGAAUGGGCACACCAGGACCUCUAGCCACCGCAAACUCCAGAUACAUGUGACACCAUGUGUAUCU